GUACAUCAUGUGACUUUGUAAAAAGCAAGUUUAAAAAAUGUAAAUGGACUUUGAAAUUUUAGCAUCUGAAUAAUUUUUGAAUAACUGAAGUGGGAAAAAAAUACAGAAACAACAAAAACAAAAAGACCCUAUCAUUAAGUGGUCCAUCUUGUGGAAGUAAAUGGUAACUACAAGUCUAAUUUAAGACUACAGGUCACAUUGGUAGUAGAGGCAAAGUUCUUCAAUAGCAAAUUCAAGUCCAGAGGUAUGAAAUCCCAAAAGAACUUUUAAAAUUACUAGACCCACAUUUCUAGUACCCAUUACCAAAGUUCUUUUCCAGAGACCUUAUCUGAAGUUUAAUCUCUUUCAUCUGAGAACAUCUUAGAAGAUGUUCAAUAUAACUGAACAUAAAAAAUCCAGCUGUAUAUGUGAAAGUUUUCAAAAAGCUAAUUCCUAUAAAUUAUACAUGAUCAUAUUUCUCUGUACAUCUAUUGGUAAUGGUAACAUUAGGAAUAUAUCAUUAGUUCAUGUGUAGACAAAACGUGAGAUGGAAAAAUCUACCAGAUAUCAGGUCCAUAGCUCUAUGGAAACAGAGCACAUUUUCAUGUUCAGAGUAAUACAAAACAUUUUUGAAGAUUCUAAACAUAACUGUAAACUGCCUUAAAAAUAUAAACAAGAAUCCCUAAAAUUAUAUUUUCUUGGUAAGCAAUGGGAGAGAAAUCUGGAUAUGGUGUACAUGCUAAUAAUUUGAUUUUUAAGUUGCCAACAUGCUAGUAUAUAUUCUUUGUGCAUUAUACUUUUUAAAUGCAGUUUAUUAGCCCUCUUUAAAGAUGUGCACACUGAACAUAUUACUAUACUGGCCUACACCACCAGUUUGUUCCCUGUUCCCACCUAGCCUGCCUCUUGGUGGGGAUGCCUGGUAUGGCACGAAGCAUGAUUUCAGGAACCACUUGCUUGAUAUCUUGCUCUAAUUUUUACAAUCCAUAUUAGAUUUGUUUGCUAACAUUAAUUUAUUGGUGUGUUAUUUUGCUC
This 1011-nucleotide long non-coding RNA is filed under the name Marmota monax (woodchuck). Lineage: Eukaryota; Metazoa; Chordata; Mammalia; Rodentia; Sciuridae. The record is from RNAcentral.